CCAGAGCGGCCUACAUGCCGGGCACAGUCCCGUUGGUCUCCAUGUCGGUGAGGUUGCCCCGCAGGUCCUGCUCCUCCUCGAAGGCCUUGAACAGUGAGUUGAAGUUGCCGGCUCCAAAACCCUGGAGCGGGAGAAAGGAGCCAAGGCCCCCGGGGCCCGAGGGAGGCCCCACCUGGAUCUGGGACUUCUUCCUGCCCGGCGCUGGCUCGUUAAUGGGCAUUUUGAUGGACUCCUCGUAAUUGGCCACCACGAUGGACCGCAGAGAGCUGUACUCCGUGUGCACCUGCGUGUCAUCCACGGACCAGAAACGGUGGAACUGCAGGUUCUUCAGAUGAGAACAUUGAGGCACAGAGAAUUUAAGUCACUCACCUGAAGUCACACAGCUAAUAAGAUAGAGACCCAGCAGUCUGCCUCUGGAAUCUACACUCUGAACAUCUAAACUGCCUCUUGAAUACAGCGUUUGGUACAGUCAGGCCCAAGAAAUGAUAAUUGUGACCUCGUUUCCUCUUUGUAACAACUCAGUGAGGUGGCCUUGGCCCUGAGCUCCUUUCUGAAGACCUUGCUGAGCACUCAGUACCUGCCUUCGGGUGGCCUGCGUGGCCUCCCGGGAUGGUUGACCAGCCUUUGAUGCCUGGGUGGCUGUGGAGUUGCCGGCAGUGUGAGAUAGCAGCUUAACUACAGCCGAACCUGUUGUGAGGUGAGGAAACUGAGACUCAAUAAGAUGAAGACUUGCCCAAAUAAUAAAUUGUCGGGACUUGCCUGCUAGCUCAGUGGUUAAGAAUCUGCCUCCCAAUGCAGGGGACAUGGGUUCGAGCCCUGGUCCGGGAACGUCCCACAUGCCGCAGAGCAACUAAGCCUGUGCACCACAGUUACUGAGCCUGCGCUCUAGAGCCCUCGAGCCACAACUACUGAGCCCGCGUGCUGCAACUACUGAAGUCCACACGCCUAGAACCCGUGCUCCGCAACAAGAGAAGCCACCACAGUGAAAAGCCUGCGCACCGCAAUGAAGAGUAGCCCCCGCUCGCCACAACCAGAGAAAGCCCACGGGCAGCAGUGAAGACCCAACACAGCCAAAAAAAAAAAAAAAAGCCCGUGCACUGCAACGAAGACUCGCCCCUGCUUGCUGCAACUAGAGAAAGCCUGCACGCACCCAAUGCAGCCAAAAAUAAAUGAAAAAUUAAUUAAUUAAACAAAAACCAGGCUGUGAGCAAAAAACCAAAAUAACAGACAAGCAUCCGUAUUUGGACAGAGAGCCAAUAGUUUGCUCACCCCUGCCCUAGACAGUCAAUACAACAAUUAAGCAUUAGUUUGUAGCAGUUGCUGAAUUCUGUGGUAUAAGUACCCCUAUGGCCAGUUUCAAACUACCAACGUAAGGCAGUUUGAACUUGGAGUUGAGAACAGUAUAAGUAGUAACAUAUCACACAGAAAAAUAGGCAAAAGCCUAGGUAGUACUAAAAUGUAGUGAAAUAAUUAGGAAAUGAUGAGAUUUGAGCAUUUAUUACCUUUGUUUUCAUGAUAGUUUAUUUAGAUGUAAGUUUAUAUUAAUUUUUUUCUGCUUUUUAAUGUAAUUUUUAAUAUACGUAAUUUAAUUUUAAGUAAUCUGGUAUUUAAAAAAAUUUUUUUACAAACUUCCUGAAGAAUUCACAGUGGGCUCUCCUGAGCCUGUAGGAACUGCUCUGCUCUGCUUGCCUGAGGUUUAGGGGGCGGGAGGCCCCCAUGACUGGGGAAAGGGCAGAGGACAUCAGUGGCCCUGGAGGAGGAGCAACUGCUAUGACAUCAGGGCCCAGGGCACAUCAAAGGGUUUUCUCUUUCCUCUCUGGCCAAACAACUAUCUCGUCAGUUGCUCCAUUAUUUGCAUAAGCCCAGGGUGCAGUUACUCAAGAUCAGCCAUUGAUCCCUUUCGAACUGAACCUGUGUCCCUACCAUCCAAAGUCCCUAAACUUUUGAACAUCUGACACCCUUCAGUUCAGAACACUGACUUUCAUUCUUCACAAGGGCAAUAGGGGAGUUAGCUUUGGCCUCCGAUUUGCUGUGUUGCCUUCAACAUAUUGCUUAACCUCUCUGAACUCCCUUUUUCCAUUUCUGAAUAUUAGGGAGCGCUCUUAUGAGUCUUUGGUACCUACAGGAAUAGAAGUGACCAUGUGUCCAAUGCUUUGCAUUUAAUAUAACAGCCCUAUGAAGUAGGUGUUAUUAUUAUACCCAUUUUACAGUUAAGGAAACUGAGGCUUGGAGAAGCUAAGUGGCUCAUACUAUAAGUGGUAGAGUUGGGAUUCAUUCCCUCUACUCCCAGUCCAAGUUUCUCAUUUUUUUCUGGUGUGUCUCCCUGCAUCUGGAGAUCUUCAAGAUUUUUACAGAUGAAAGGGGUCUGAGGGCUUCCGUGGUGGCACGGUGGUUAAGAAUCUGCCCCCCAAUGCAGGUGACACGGGUUUAAGCCCUGGUCCGGGAAGAUCCCACAUGCCACGGAGCAACUAAGCCCGUGCGCCACAACUACUGAGCCUGCGCUCUAGAGCCUGCCUGCCACAACUACUGAAGCCCCCAUGCUCCGGAACAAGAGAAGCCACUGCAAUGAGAAGCCCACGCACUGCAACAAAGAGUAGACCCUGCUCACGACAACUAAAGAAAGCCCGCAAACAACCUAAAUGCCCAUCAACAGACAAAUGGGUAAAGAAGAUAUGGUACAUAUAUACAAUGGAAUAUUACUCAGCCAUAAAAAGGAAUGAAAUUGGGUCAUUUGUAGAAACAUGGAUGGAUCUAGAGACUCAUACAGAGUGAAGUAAGUCAGAAAGAGAAAAACAAAUAUCGUAUAUUAAUGCAUAUAUGUGGAACCUAGGAAAAUGGUACAGGUGAACCGGUUUGCAGGGCAGAAAUGGAGACACAGAUGUAGAGAACAAACGUAUGGACACCAAGGGGGGAAAGCAGCGGUGGUGGUGGUGGUGGUGGUGGGAUGAAUUGGGAGAUUGGCAUUGACAUAUGUACAUGAAUAUGUAUAAAAUAGAUAACUGAUAAGAACCUGCUGUAUAAAAAAUAAAAUAAAAUUAAAAGCCCACGCACAGCAACGAAGAACCAAUGCAGCCAAAAAUAAAUAAAUAUAUAUUUUUAAAAAAGGCGGGGGGGUUCUGAGUAGUCAUUAGUCCUGGGUCUUGAAACUCAAAUGCCCCAGAAGCCAGGAGAGUGACGUAGAAGAGAGAAGAGCUGGGUGGAACUGUGGAGUCGUAGGCUCACGCCUUGUCGACAAGAGUGAUGAUUACUCAGCUACAACCAGUUAUCCCCUGUGGGGAUGUGGGCUAGUUUGGCCAGAUUUUGUUCAAGAGAAGCUGGAAAUUUGAAUUUUUAUGUGAAAUCCAUUGAUUUAAAAAUUGUUCUGUUUUGGGGAAUUCCCUGGCUGUCCAGUGGUUAGGACACCGCACUCUCACUACCAAGGGCCUGGGUUCAGUCCUUGGUUGGGGAACUAAGAUCCCACAAGCCUCGCGGUGUGCCCCCCCCCGAAAAAUUGUUUUAAUUCCAUUAAUAGGAAAUACCCAGAAUAGGGAAAUCCAUAGAGACAGAAUGCAGAUUGGUGGGUGCCAGGGGCUGGGGGGAGGGAGGACUGGGGAGUCACUUUUAAUGGGUAUGGGGUUUUCCUUUUGGGGUGAUGAGAAUGUCUUGGAACUAGAUAGAGGUGGUGGUUACACGACGUUGUGAAUGUACGAAAUGAAUUGUUCACUUAAAAUGGUUAAUUUUAUGUCAUGUGGCUUUCAUCUCAAUAAAAAAAAUUGUAUUCUAACAUUUUUCUUUCUUUUCUUUUUUCUUUUUUUUUUUUUUGCGGUACGCGGGCCUCUCACUGCUGUGGCCUCUCCCGUUGCGGAGCACAGGCUCCAGACGCGCAGGCUCGGCGGCCAUGGCUCACAGGCCCAGCCGCUCCGCGGCAUGUGGGAUCUUCCCGGACCGGGGCACGAACCCGUGUCCCCUGCAUCGGCAGGCGGACUCUCAACCACUGCGCCACCAGGGAAGCCCCUAACAUUUUUUAUGAGUGUGUUUUUUGAUAUUGAUAGAAAGUAUUUUUAUCAAAGAUUAAUAAUACACAGAAAAAUGCAAAAAGUAUAUGGCUUUCUGAAUUUUCACAAACUGACCACACCUAUUUAACCAGCUCAGAUAUAUAUUUUAUUUUGUUUUUUGUAACAGAAUUAAUGCAAGUUGAUAUAGAAAAACAUACACAUAAUUAAAAGUGAAAAAAAAGAGAAAAAAGGAAAAAGAAAGUACAGAAAACUAACCCAUUCAUAAUCCUUCAACCACAGAAAACCACCAUGGACAAUUCGGGCAUAUCCACCCAGACCACUUUCUAAAAAUGUAUAAACAUAUGAUACU
Molecule: long non-coding RNA, 4344 nt
Organism: Globicephala melas (long-finned pilot whale)
Lineage: Eukaryota; Metazoa; Chordata; Mammalia; Artiodactyla; Delphinidae
Source: RefSeq, a predicted model, not a curated record